UACCAGCUCUCCGAGUGGUGUGGAUGUUUAUUGGGCCUAAAGCAUCCGUAGCUGGCUGGGCAAGUCCCCUGUUAAAUCCACCGAUUCAAUCGUUGGAGUGCGGGGGAUACUGCUCGGCUAGGGGACGGGAGAGGCCGACGGUAUUUUCGGGGUAGGGGUGAAAUCCUAUAAUCCCGGAAAGACCACCAGUGGCGAAGGCUGUCGGCUAGAACGCGCCCGACGGUGAGGGAUGAAAGCUGGGGGAGCGAACCGGAUUAGAUACCCAGGUAGUCCCAGCUGUAAACGAUGCAGGCUAGGUGUUUGGGCGGCCACGUGCCGCUCUAGUGCCGCAGGGAAGUCGUUAAGCCUGCCGCCUGGGGAGUACGGCCGCAAGGCUGAAACUUAAGGAAUUGGCGGGGAGCACCACAAGGGGUGAAGCUUGCGGUUU
This 427-nucleotide ribosomal RNA is filed under the name uncultured archaeon. Its description in RNAcentral is "bacterial SSU rRNA". It matches the Rfam family "Archaeal small subunit ribosomal RNA", at positions 474 to 903 of the family's 1478-position model. The record is from RNAcentral.